CGAGGGGGGCAAAUGUUGUUCGGAAUCACUGGGCGUAAAGGGAGCGUAGGCGGGCUCUUAAGUUAGGUGUUUAAUCCCGGGGCCCAACCCCGGACAGGCACCUAAAACUGGGAGUCUUGAAUAGUGGAGAGGACGGCGGAAUUGGGGGUGUAGCGGUGGAAUGCGUAGAGAUCCCCAAGAACACCAGUUGCGAAGGCGGCCGUCUGGACACAUAUUGACGCUGAGGCUCGAAAGCAUGGGGAGCAAACAGGAUUAGAUACCCUGGUAGUCCAUGCUAUAAACGAUGAAUACUAGGUUUUGGGCCCGUCAACGGUCCAGAGCCGCAGCUAACGCGUUAAGUAUUCCGCCUGGGAGUACGCUCGCAAGAGUG
This 370-nucleotide ribosomal RNA is filed under the name uncultured organism. RNAcentral's name for it is "bacterial SSU rRNA". It matches the Rfam family "Bacterial small subunit ribosomal RNA", at positions 526 to 896 of the family's 1533-position model. The record is from RNAcentral.